Branchiostoma belcheri (Belcher's lancelet) is the source of this 705-nucleotide long non-coding RNA. RefSeq lists it as uncharacterized. Lineage: Eukaryota; Metazoa; Chordata; Leptocardii; Amphioxiformes; Branchiostomatidae. The transcript has 3 exons. The record is from RefSeq and is a predicted model, not a curated record.
GCACUUCCCACCGGCCGGAGCGCCGUGCACGAUCUCCACUGGCCGGCGGCGCAGCACCGAGGAAUUUACCGGGGAGCUCCGCUGGUAUGGUCACCAGACUAGACAGGGGAAGCCCGCCGCGGCAGCCGGCUUGGUCAGCGUGGAUUUUUACUUGGAACAAAAUAGGCAAGGUCUAAACUUUUCUAAAAUCUAAAGCCUGGAUACCCCCAGCCGUAGAGGUAUAGAGGAACCUACGAAGGACAGGUUGAAGAAAGUAAACCUCAGACAUGCAGCGAGGGAUACCCUACUGUUCUACACUGGACACCGGUGCCGGCAUAUAUGCCCUGUCUGCGCUAAACUGCCCGCACCUGCCAACAACGCAGGGUUCCGAACAGUGGAGACCAUCUCAGUGCACGGAGAAGGUUUCACUCUACAUGGCGACAAACACAACAGUUACUCAAGAAUACAAUUAAGAAGUGGAACAAAAUACCAGGUGAGUGCCUGACCAUCCUUAUUUCAUGCAGUAUUGUACAUAUAAUAAUCACGAUGGUUAGGCAAUGUUCGCAUAUCUAUAGUACUUCUUUCAUGAAAAGCUGUGUGUUUUGAAACACGGUACCAUGUUUACUAUGAUGUCAUUGCUGGGAAAACAAUGUAGCCUGGGUGCCAGGCCCCUGUGCCACCAUAGUCAAUAAAGUCAGGGAAAUCUCACGCCUGGAACACAGAAUU